CGCCAGCGAAAGCGGCCGCAGGCGAACUGAGAGACCGCGUGCGAAAUUCAAAUUCAAAUUCGUGCCGCCAUUUGGCCAUAAACGUUUCGGGGUUCGUGGAAGGACAAUAAAAGGAGCAGCGGCGGGGUGGGAAAGUUGGAACUCUACCCAUUUGUGUGAUUUAUGGCAUGGCGCACUACUUUCCGCUGGCGGCUAACAACAACAGCAACGAUUACGAGCGGUCCCUGGAAUAUCCUAGCCGCUCUGGAAAUGCCAGCGAUCCCAGCGCCGUCUCAUUAGUGCUGUCUCUUUUGCGCCGGAGCAGGGGCGCAUGCGCGAAAAGGCAAAAACAACGGGGUGGUGUACAAGGCAUUGGGUGGAACUUGAAUCGAGUCCUGGUUCAGCCAUGCUGGGAAAUUCUGAAGGAUAUUUAAAGAGCAGUAUUCGGGAAAUUUGGGUACCUUUAACUUGGCUGUUCGUAGAAAUUUCUUUACACGGCUGAAGGUUAAUAUGUGUACUCACAGCAUACGAGGAUAGGAAACGUCGAAAUAUAACAUAGUCUAUAUUGAUUAUAUUUGUGUAUAUAUAUUGAUGUGUUUAAUAUGUGUCUGGAUCUCGAUCAAUUAGUUCCUAUGGCAGAUGAUUUAAGGAUUAAAUGUGGUCAAAGGCCGUUUGAUGUGCAAAAUUUCACUUGUUGUAUAAGCACCGAACCAUUCGAAAACUUUCUGCUGCCCAAACGCAUUUAAUUUUCAUAUUUCCAGCCUGAUUCCUGAUCAGCCCCGGGCCAAGUUUCCCCCUAAAACCCAUCGAGGUUAACCCGGCUUUACUCUGCGAGAUGAUUGAUGACGACGCUGUCUGUCUGGCGAAGAAAUUCCCCCGAAGAGCGACGAAACUAUGGCCACAGUUUCUGGAAAAUUAAAUCACAUCUUAAAUCGUUUCGGUGACUUCUGCUGAAAUGAGGCCGUUCCCAUGGGAGGACAACUGCAUCUGUCGUCCGAACUUGGACCCCCGCACUCUCACUCGUACUGCCCAUCUGCCGGAAUCCUCGUCGCUGAGUGCACAUUCGAAUCAGAUAAUUGUAAAUUGUGUAAAAUAAUAAAUUUCCAGUUAACUAUCAACGGACCGCAU
Molecule: non-coding RNA, 1107 nt
Organism: Drosophila melanogaster (fruit fly)
Lineage: Eukaryota; Metazoa; Arthropoda; Insecta; Diptera; Drosophilidae
Source: Ensembl